GCCUCGGUAGCUCAAUUGGCAGAGCAGCGGACUCUUAAUCCGUUGGUUGAAGGUUCAAGUCCUUCUCGGGGCACCA
RNAcentral lists this transfer RNA (76 nucleotides) under Verrucomicrobiota bacterium. RNAcentral's name for it is "Verrucomicrobia bacterium (anaerobic digester metagenome) tRNA-Lys". It matches the Rfam family "tRNA". Rfam says of the family: Transfer RNA (tRNA) molecules are approximately 80 nucleotides in length. Their secondary structure includes four short double-helical elements and three loops (D, anti-codon, and T loops). The record is from RNAcentral. Lineage: Bacteria; Pseudomonadati; Verrucomicrobiota.